GAAAUCUCGGUCUUAUCUACGAUUAAAUGAAGUAAUCUAUUGAAUAAUAAACCUAAUUAAAUUUAUAAUCUAAUUUCUCAACAUGAACAUGCCACGUAUGUGUGGGAAGGCCAUUAUAGGACGAUACUGUGCAAUAUAUAUAAGGCUCCAAUGCUGCAGUAGAAAUGCCCCGCAUCGCCCCUUUUGCCUGCAAAGUUCAUGAUCUUCUCCCCGUUUGACGAGCUCCCACAGGCAGAUAUCGUGCUCGAGGAGCUUGCUGACAGCUCGAAUAAAGGUGGGGUGAGGCAACCUUGCGGCGCAAGCUUAAUUCUGAAGAUGAUCAAUAUGUCGGGCUCUUUGGAUUCUGCCUUAGAAGUGAAGGAAGCAGAGGAGGUUGAUAUCACAAAGGCUACCGUUGUUCGUAUACUUUGUGUUCCUCGGAAAGUAUGAGACAAUCCGGAAUUUGUCCUUAGAGAGUUGCACUUCCCCUUCGCAGGAGUUGCUAAAACCGCUUAAAGGUGUAUUCCCCGGGUUCAAAGACACGCUAACUUGGGAAAGACCCCGGACUACUCUCACCGCGCUCCUCGCAUUGGUUCUGAUUAUCUACGAGUAAUUGCAUUGCAGGAUCUGUUUCUACACCGAUAUUUCCAUUUAAGAUCGAACACUUUUAUCGGUUCACCACUCUCUAAAGAUGUAUUCAUAAAAUUUGAACAGCAAUAAUUGAGUAGGUGAACAAGGAAGUGGCGGCCUUUUUUGCUGUGGCUGGCUGUGAAGAUGCUUGAGGCAAGUGAAAGGACGAGCCAGCACCCGCGAGAUGAGAUUGUGGUCCGUACAGUUUCCCCGCAGAAAGGGCCACAGACCGUCCUCAAGGUGGUUCAGACAGCGAACAUCGUUCUACUGAAGCUGUGGUCGAUAUUCUCGUCGAGGGCCCCGAAGUCUCCGAAAACACUGUCUCAGCGGAUCAAAUGGAACCUAGGUUCAGAAUGAGAUUGCAUCGAGUAGCGAUUCCCCUUUAGAUGCCGAUUUUUCGAUCCUUAAAGGAGACGGGAAUUCUUGUCUUGUGGAUCAGCAUGCAGACACGGUGACUAUGGCGAUGAGCGUGACAGCUAUUCCACUGACAGUAAGUCCCCUUAAAUUCAUCCUCAUCGCUGUGACUGUAUCCUGUUUCGCGAUGAAGUCGAGUACCGGUGAGGGGCUCAAAGAAUGGCGGCAUGCGAUACCAGUUGUUGUUCCAGUCCGAUUGGUGGAUAAGGCCGAGAUAUGUCCAAAGACAUCUGCCAGUGAGCACAUCGGUGAUGUGAAUGCUCCGCCCCCGUAAGGCCGAAAACUGUCCCGAGUCUCUUCUGGCUUGGAAAGGCACAUUUCACUUCUUUUCAGCUCGGAUUUUCUCCAGCAUGUUAUUGAUAAUAUAUGAUGCUUACUUGUUGUGCGUGUGCGUGUGUUUUUUUUUGGCUCUAUAGUCUAUCUGUAUACCGAUAUAUCAAUACCAGAUGUAUCAGUGUGACGAUAUCGCGGUUCUCCUUCUGUUUGAUCGACGAACAAGAAAUUGAAACUUGCAACGACAUCAAUCUAGUAGAUAUGAUAAUCAUCAAUCGAGUCCUUUCAUAUUGUUAACCAUAAUAUGAUGAUACUAAUUACAGAUGACAAAUAAAUAAAUAAAUUAUUUUUAUUACUUAAGAAGAAAAGAUGGUACCGUAGCAUAGUUUUUCUAUAAUUAUCACCAUUUUGACAAAGACGAAAAAAAAAAACUCAACCCAGAAUUUUUUUUAAAAAAAUAAUGCGGAAUGAACAUGGGGAAAAUUGAU
Punica granatum (pomegranate) is the source of this 1784-nucleotide non-coding RNA. NCBI's taxonomy places the organism in Eukaryota, Viridiplantae, Streptophyta, Magnoliopsida, Myrtales, Lythraceae. The record is from RefSeq and is a predicted model, not a curated record.